Molecule: transfer RNA, 85 nt
Filed under: Capnocytophaga gingivalis ATCC 33624
Lineage: Bacteria; Pseudomonadati; Bacteroidota; Flavobacteriia; Flavobacteriales; Flavobacteriaceae
Description: tRNA-Leu
Rfam family: tRNA
About the family: Transfer RNA (tRNA) molecules are approximately 80 nucleotides in length.
Source: RNAcentral
UGCCUGAGUGGCGGAAUUGGUAGACGCGCACGACUCAAACUCGUGUUCUUCGGAGUGAGGGUUCGAUUCCCUCCUCAGGUACAAC